UUUAAUUCAUUCUUUGGAGAACACUCAACCCACUUAUCACAAGCAUGGAUCCUUGAACCAAGACAUCUUCCAAAGGAAGGAAAAAAGGCCAAGUUUUCACACAAUACCAUGAAAGAGGGGAGACUUACAAUCUUACUAACUAGAAUGUUAUGCCUUUGUGUCAAAAUUUAGCGUUAUGUUAAGCAAUCAUAAUUGGACUUAUGUAGAAG
This 209-nucleotide long non-coding RNA is filed under the name Lathyrus oleraceus (garden pea). RNAcentral describes it as "Pisum sativum (pea) long non-coding RNA (PSAT_LNC038278)". Lineage: Eukaryota; Viridiplantae; Streptophyta; Magnoliopsida; Fabales; Fabaceae. The record is from RNAcentral.